AGGCCCCAGCGACGAAGUUCCGAUACCCGGCUCGAGUCCAGGGAACCCGACCGCGAAAGUGACUGAUGUAUAACUGACGCUGAACCAUUUAAAAUACGCUCAAACGCAUAGAAUGGAGUCCGAUGCCGCAAGGAAGCCAAUGUUGAGGCCGAUAUUAUCGCACAGGCAGGCGCUGUUCCAAUUGAUUCAUCAGAUACAUAAAUAGCUCCAAAUUAAGCACUUAUAAAUCUUUCAGAAGCCUCGUAGGCGUGUAAGCUGCGAGCGCGAUCAUCUGUCCUUAAUACAGCCGUGCUGGCAGCCCCAUAUAGUGAUACCAAUGAAGCUUAGACUCCGUAAUCAAAAUAUUUGCAAAACGUGCAGGGUGAACGGUUUCGCCGCAAGGUCGAACUUCCUGCCUCGGUUUCGGCCUCGGCGACGAUCGAGACUGUUAAACCCAGGUGAUUCCACCAACAAAGCAUGUUAAGUGAGCGGUUUUGCGCAGCUUAGGACCGGUCCGGGAGGUUGUGCACGCGCAAGCAUCCACAAUUCCUGAACCCGCUCCGCAGCGGCCCGGCAUUGUCCCUGAACCCGCUCCGCUGCUGCCCAGCGUUGUCUUUGGACGCAGAUCUGUCGUGUUUCUGCUUCUUGCACCUGGGUUGGUGGCGCAGAACCCCGGGCGGUCCUGGACUGGUGCUCUCGUGUGUGGCCUUAGCAUGUGCCGGCUGUCUUGUGUGGCGACGGCCGUGCGACGGCUCAUGCCGUGCUGCCGUGCCAUGCCUCGGCUGUUCAGACUUGGCCUAUGCCACACACUCUGGGUAGCAUCGUGCUGCCUGCAGUGUAAAUCUGUUCGGCUGUGUUCUGCGGUCCCGCCCAUUUCGCGACUCUGGCUCUUGCCCUUAACGUCUACUUCAUUCCCAGCCCUUCUUCACCUCAGCUCAACAUCCCUGCCUGCAUAUGCGAG
Molecule: long non-coding RNA, 940 nt
Filed under: Chlamydomonas reinhardtii
Lineage: Eukaryota; Viridiplantae; Chlorophyta; Chlorophyceae; Chlamydomonadales; Chlamydomonadaceae
Description: long non-coding RNA (CREI_LNC000687)
Source: RNAcentral